AUGCGUGGUAGUGAACAAAAAGGAAUUACUUAGCACUGAAUGUGGCUUCAGGGGCUGCAUUCAUCUUUGUAGAUUGUAUGAACUAGACAGGUGUAGUUCUCUCAUGGUAUUUGUUGAUUGAAGAGGCAGACUGAUAGUCAUCAGAGGUGAGAAGACUGUUAGUAACAAAAUAUUUUGUUUUUUUUUCUUCUCUUUCUGCUUAAUACCCUCUGUAACCCAUUGUUGCUUCUAUCUUUGUGAAGUUUGCCUUCUUUCCUGGUCUCGUUCCCAUGAUUCUUCUGGAAGUCUUUUUCAUCACUGCAUACCGGGCUUCUCUGGCUACAUGCCUGCCCUGUCAUGUUCAGCAGAUGUCUUACCUCAGUGCAGGUGUGGCUUUGUAAAGGCCAAGUUUUGGACCUUGAAUAUAAUCCAUUCUGUCUUUCCUUCCUAUUAACUAAUUAAGUGCUUUUUUUCCACUGCCUGCUAGGUAGCUGAUGUGUUUCUGACCGGCAUACAGUAAGUUGGUCCUUGGAUGAAGAAGUGUGUCUCAUUUAAACCGGACCACGUCCAGGAUCUCUUAUGAUAAUCACUGUUGUACUGACAUGAAAGAUGGGGGAGUUGGUGAUGCUGCUGUGAAGCAGCCAUCAGGACGUUGUUCUGUAGUGUCAGAAAGGCAAGUCACCUUGUUCAUCAAAUGAACAAGAAGGGAAUAAGACAGGAAAGAGAGUGGUUAGGAAGCCAUGAAGAAGUACCUAUCAGCCAGUUUGCUUGUUGGGCUUUGUGCUCAUUCCAGCUGUGCUUUUGCCAUCCCUCUGCUCCUUCCAGGAGUGGAUGCUCUUGCUCAUCCUAUUUUAAGCACCUGCUUGUGCACAAAACCCUGCUGCCUGCACGCAGUGUGGUUUGGACAGUUGCAGGUGCUUGUCUGAGUGGGUGAUGCUGUGCUCUAUAGAGAGCAUAUUUUCUGUUUUGUCUGACAUCAAGAAAUACAGCUUUUCUGCAGUCAUCUCCUAAAAGGAAUCCACUUUUCUCAUCAGAAAUCUAUGCAAAAUGUGUGCUUGCCCUCUGACUGCACGAUACCUGCUGUGACCGUGGCUGAGGAGGAAGGGCAGCUGCCUCAGGUGCUUCGUUAAUCCUGCUUUUGUGCACAGCUUUGUUCCGUGGUCCCGAUCUACCCAUCGUGACUUGCAGGAAGAGAAGAGAGGAACCUGAGGGCAGCUGAGAAACUGAGAGAGAAAUGCAGCAAACAGACUGCAAUUCUGCAUCUCAAGCGCACAGUGAUGAACACGUAAUGGAAAGGACAUGUUCCUCAGCACAGUUAAUUAUGUUGCCUUCUCAACAGUGAAUUCCCUUGCUCACCAUGUCAAGAAAUGCCUCAUUCAAGAAAAUAAUUAAGUAAGCACUCUCAGCAGUGGAGGUUUAAUGUCUGGACUGUAUCUUGUAAUAUUUUUGACACUACUCAGCAAUCAAUUCAGUGAGCUCGUGUCUCAAGGGGCUAUUCAUUUGUUAAUAAACUUAGGUUGCAUUCCAGCUGCAACCUCACAGAGGGAUAUUUUAUCCAGGUAAGAAAUGGCUUGUUCAUUUUUAAUGUGAGUGACUUGUGUGUCUUUUUGCUUCCAAGUCAAUGACUUGACACAUGGGAGAUAUUUCACUAUCAGCAGGAGAUGCAGCCGGCUUGGCCUUGUGUUGUACAGCUGGCAGCUGUGUGACCUUCUGUCUGAUCAGAAUGGGUUUUCCUUCCGGGGGCAAAAGCAGUAUCCUGUUUUUGAAAUGUAGUUAGCAGUUCUCUUCAAGCAUGUAUAAGAAUACUGAGAUCUGUUUGUUCAUCUGAGCACCACAGAACUUGGGAUGGAGAACUGAGAGAAUGCAGUGAUGAGGGUCCUUUGAAUUUUGAAUUUGGGAAAACGCUGUGGAUAUCUAUGAAGAACUCUGGCACAGCAAUGUUGUUAAAUUGUGCUGCAUUUAUCAAUAACAUUCACCAGUAUUUGAGUCCUCGGUCGUUCCUAUUUCAUAUUUGUGAUGUUUGUGUACAGAAGCCACAAGAUAUCUUGCAAGAGCUAGUUGUUUUGCAGUAGUUUUGCAUUUUUCAGUGUUUAACUGCUCAUCUCUCGUGCAAAUAGUUUGUCAAAUAUGAGAGGCUGUUUUUCAGUCUUUCUCUUGCAAACUCACAAUCCUGAUCACCACUUUAAUGAUUGUAAAGAGUGAGCUGCAAAGCUGUGGAGUCCGCAGAGUUUCCAAAGAAGGAUGCUGUGAACCCAGCAAUGAACAUGUAGGAUUGUUCAUGGAUAUGGCACAGAUACAAAACAAGCCGAGUAUAUUUUUGCCUUUGUCAUAUUUUUACUAUUUGCUGUUAGAAGGAUAUUCUAAUGAACAUGAAGUCUACAAAAUACUUACUUAGGUGUCAUCAACCCCUUUAACCAAGAAGAUGACAAAAUGCUCUACACACCCUGAGGCAUGCCUUCGAUCUUGAAUCUCCUGCCACGUAGCACUGGUGCAGUGAGAUGUGCACUGGAGUGCAGGCAAACAUGGGGGGAUGGUCUGAGGCUGAGUGCUGGAAUGAGUCAAAGCUGCUAGAAGAAAAUUAGGGUGUACUGGAAUGUAUUUUCUAAUGUCAAAAGUCCCAUCUUCUCUGUGCCCCGGCCCAAGCCUGCUCUGUCUCCACGGCGUGCAUCUGUACUUGUUUCCUUUGGAGCUGAAAGCAUGUUCUUCUAUCACUGAUGCUGCAGUUGAGUCUUCUUACAGGGAGAACCAGUAUGCCAUAGUUCAGCAUUAUCUGCAUUAAACUCAUGCAAGUUCUCUCAUCCUUUUAAUUUCAGAUUUAUGCUAAAUUACAUGCAGCUUUACGGGGUAACUGCCUUCCAGAGCGUGUCAGCUGAAGAAUUGAAGGUGAAAGAUGAGAGCAUUAGCGCACAUCACUUUCUGUAGGUAUCAGGGUGCUAUUCAGUACUUCAGUUACUUGUGUACUUUGCUCACUCCACUGAUACCAAAGAACUUCAGUGAGAACAGAGGAGUUUGAAGGGUUGUGAGUCUGGUACAGAGGAGGACAUGGAAAGCCGUUUCACUUGUUAACAGACCACAGCUCAGGGAUCUGCAUAAAGCUGGUAUGUUUUGACAGUCAGAAUUCAUUCUUGCAAUCAAACCCUUCAUAUUCUACAAAGAUGUCCAUUUUAUAUCACUAUAAGGGAUCCUGAAAAGGGUUCCUCCUACACUGCCAAGCUUGCAAAUGGGAAAAGUGUACUGAACCUGAGAGACAGACUUGGUCAGUCUGUCUUUUGGCAGAGAGUAGCAAAGGAUAUAACUGUACAGAAUGAUCGUAGAACAAAUAGAGGGAAGAUGCUUCAGGAGCUCUUACAGACAUUUUCUUCUCCUCCCCCUUGCCUCAUUCUUUCAGUAUCUGUUCGUGGCAUUGCACAGGAUACUUCUGCUAGCUUUGCUAACUUAACAGACCUGACAGAAGUUUGUAUUUCUGCAUGUCAGAAGUCAUGCUGUACAAAUUACUUUUGAAAUUCAACUCGUGUACCACACUGAAGUUGUACUUUCAGUCCUACUGGAAACUGGGACAGUUCUACAGUCCAGGAAUGGUGGAGAAAGAUGAAACCUUCCUUGGUUGUUGCCACAAUUUCCACCCCUAUCAGAAGGACUGGAAGAGGGAGAAUUGAUGACCUGGUGAAAGGGAAAGGCAAGAUUUCAGUAGGAGGUUUAUCUGUUAAUGCUGCAUCUUGCUGCAGGUUUGCAGUGGUCUUCAAACAGAUGUUUGAAUAGAAAUGUUGGAUUGGGAUCUGUAUGGGAACCGUUGAAUCACGGCCUGAACCUCUGAUUGACCACCUGAGGCAAGCGCUGAGUCAGCCACAGGAGCACAGGGAUCCAAUGCUGUUUUAUGUCUGCAUAUUCUACUGGAUGAAAUGGAUAUGACAUGAAAUGAAUAUGAGAGAAGGAAUACCUGAAGAAAGGAGCUAGCAAAGAAUGGAGCACCAGGAUUUCUUAGCUGUGUGAAGUUUGACUGUGAACUCGUGCUGUACUUUCUGUGAGCAGUAACUCCUGAAUGUGAACGCAUAAGAAGUGCCUGCAGAGCACUGCAGCCCUGCUUCAAUGAUGGGAUGGAGUAACUGUGAUCUGGAGGAGCUCAGGUACAAGGAGCAGCGUGUUACCAGGAGCGCAGUUCAGAAAUGUGUGAUCUGAAAGCACGGAUGAGGCUACUGUCCCUUUGUUUUUGAGCACAAACCCUCUGUUGAGAGUGAAAACAACUUUGUCUUUUCCUGCUUAUUGUAGUCACCUGAAUUAAAUGCACUCCAGGUGAGCAUAUCUGACAUUUUUUUCUGUUUUUUUUUUGUCUGACAAGAGCUGAUUGCAGAAUUCCUGAGACAGUGGGAAAAAAGAUUUAUAGAACUGUAGAAAAACUGUUUCUCCAUGUCACAGGUUCUCUCCUUAAAGUAGUUCAACUUAAAUUGUGUUUCUAAGAAACAGCAAGAAAUUGGAAGGAUUUAUCUGAAUGAGAGUUAAAACAGACAUGGCAGUAUUUGUACUGGGUUGCGUUUUUUGCUUCUCUGUUUUUUUUCCCUACUCCCAGAUAUGCCUUUUCCUUUCCAGUGUAUCCAUAUCUGGAGGUUCUGACUAGACAGAGACUUGUGAGGGUUAAAAUCUCGAGGAACAGCUGGGAGAUGCUUAGCAAGCUGAAGUGACUUAGAGUUAAGGGUCUUCUGAGUCUACUAAGAAGCCCCACCCUGUCUUGGUCUGCCUUCUCAGUGACACUGGUAUCACAUUACAGUUCAGGGACUAAAGGGUAGGAACCUGGGUAUUUCCUGUGUUCAGCCCUAUUUACAUAGAAACAACAUUCUGGAAUAUCGUGUGGCAAACCUGCAAGGUUCUGGUGGGACAGUAUUGCCAUGCUAAUCCCCUGCUUGGGGUUACAGGAAAGAAGUACUUUUUUUCUCCAUGCUUACAUCUAUGCAGCCCCUGAAAAUAGUCAGCAGAAUUUGGGUGCUUCCAUUAUCAACUAAUUGAAUUCGUUUGGCUCAAUCAAGCAUUCAGCUAUUCUGCAGCCAGUGGUGUCAGAUGGGACAUGUAUUUGGCUGAGUUUCACAAAAAUUGUUGGCUCCACGUUGGUUGUACAAUGGGGAACACAAAACCACUUCAGGAUUCAGCUUUCACAGCUUCUCAGCAUGUUAUCUGAACUGUUGUCUGUAUGCAGUGCUGCAAUUGCUGCUAGGGUUUAAGCACAUCUCCUGGUCUUGAUCUCCUCUUUGUCACCUUCUCACCUUUUCAGCAAGUCUGGAGGAAGCUGAGCGCAGCAACCUUUUGUGUUUUCCACUCUAAAUGUCAUUCAUCUUCAAGAUUUUCCUGUCAGCCACGUUAAAUAGCAUUCCACCAUGCUCACUCACUUGCUAUACAUUCCAGAUUUGCAUCCCGAAUGUGGAAAUUAUUUAUGAAUUUCUUGAAUACUUUAUCUUACGUUAGAUUAAUUGUAGAUUACGUCUCCUUCUGCUGUCUUUGUGUUCUCAGGCUCAGCUUUGAAAGAUCUGAAUGGCUAUGUGAUAAAGUGACGAGAGGCAAUAAAACUAUAGGGCAAAACCACAUAAUUAGAGGAAGGAAGACACUACGGACUGCAAUGCAGCCUUUGAAACUUCCUUGUCAUCUACUGGUUAUAACUUUUGCAUAUGGAAGCAUACAGAGGUAGAGUUUGGGGGCCUUAUCCAGAGUACCGUGUUUACUGCCAGUUGCACUGCACUGAUAUCAUUUGUUUGUACUUUGAAUCUUACCAGGACCUCCCCAGAAAUUCUCUUGUAGAUGUGGAGUGAUAGGCCUCAAAGUAAAGCUGUACCUCCGAGCUUCUGUGAGGCUGAAGUCAAGGAAUUAUCCUGUAAAUCCAGAUUGAGUCACACCUGGACAACCCAUUGUGUGAUACAGAUCCCUGCUGGGUUGCAGUUUGCAGCCACAGGGAAGUAUUGACACUUACUCAGCUUAAAGGCCAAAUAUAAAUUAAAUCAAAACAGAAGUCCCAGCAGCUUUGGGAGGAAGACUUGGCCUUUAGACUCCUUUUGCUCAUCUCUAAAGGUAAGUUUUCCUCUCAGAUGACCUAAUGGCAGUUUCUUCUGAAGAUGCUGUUUAGCUCUCCAUGUUAAUCCAUGCGUUGAAACAAAUGCUGCUGCUGGUGUGUGGAGCAGCUUCUCUCUUGCAGGCACUCUAUGCUGGCAGGGCUGCAGCUGUCUGACACCAAACUUGUACAUGGCUAGAGAUCAGCUUUCUAAGAACCCGGAGGGCCCUCCUUUCUGCUGGCUUCCCCCCAUAUCUCCAUGCUGCGUGAGACUGCUGUGAGCUUUUAUACAGGCAGUAUAUUUACAGUAGCACUGGAUGUGAAGUGCAAAAUGCUCUUUAAAGUCUGCUUAAAAUCUCUCCCCUGUCAGUUCCCAAAUUUAAUAAUGAUGGAGUUUGGGAAAGGUGUACGAACUGCUAUCUGGUGUGUAUGUGCAAGAGAUGAAGUGCAUGUGUAGUUAUAAAGCACUCUUCAGAAUCUGGUCUGCAGUCUAUUAACAUGCUGAACAUGCCUUUUUUAUGGUGGUGAUUUACAGUCCAGCACAACUAUGUGAAAUCGCUUCAUUAUAUUUGAAUAAUGAAAAGAGUGCCAUCAAAAAGGCAUGUCUCCAGGGAUCUCUCUGAGGCAACACUUUAAACAAAUGACUUUUUAGAUAAAUUUAUUAUGAAGUGUGAUGAAAGCCAUUUUUCUUAGCAGUCACAUCUUGUGAAAUCAAUGAGCUUUGUUGUGCUGUAGUUUUUUUUUAAUCUCUUACAUAAGUAAAGACUAUGUCUGUAUAAAUGGUGGUUGAUGUUCUGCAAUCACCAUGGAAAGGGAAUGUAAUGUUUUAGUGUUUAAAUUCUGGUUUGUUAUGGCUGCUAAAUAUUUGUGGACUGAACUUAACAGCCUAGUCUUGGAGUUGGAAAUAUCAGUUGCCCUAAAAAUUGUUUUUACAGGCAGCUAUGAAUGUUCAUCCAGAUUUGUUAAGCUAAAAUGUGUUUUUAUAAAAUUAGAGCAUUUGCCUAAGACCUCUUCUGCCAAAGGAGUACCCAGCUUUCCUGGUGGCAGUCUGUUAAACUGUGCUACAUGAAGUUGGCCAAACCACUCAGAAAUCACCAUCGUUGGGGCUUUCAAAGUAUUAUAAAAACACUUCUUAUUGCUUUGUCAUGUGAGCGUCCUUGAAUGUCUCAUUAAAAAUCUAACAUUAGAUUAUUAACGAGACAGCUUUUUUUCUAAAAUCCGCACUGACUUUUUGUAAUCAAAGACGCAAUGAAAACACGUGUCAUCAGGACAAUGAUAUUUUGAAUGAAGAUAAAUUAUGUUCUUUCUUCUGGAACUUCAUUGAAGUUGAACCUGAUGAAGUUCAACAAGAACAAGUGUAGAGUCCUGCACCUGGGGAAUAAUAACUGCAUGCAUCAGUGCAGUCAGGGGCUGAGCUGCUGCAGAGGAGCUGUGCAGAGAAGGACCUGGGGGUCCUGGUGGGCAGCAGGCUGGCCAUGAGCCAGAGGUGUGCCCUGGUGGCCAAGAAAGCCAAUGGUAAUUAAAAGCAUUGCAAAGAGCAUAGCUGGCAUGUUGAGGGAGGUGAUCCUCCCCUCUGUUGUGCCCUGGUGAGGCCACAGCUGGAGUGCUGCGUCCAGUACUGGGCUCCCAAGUUUAAAAACAAACAAACAAAAAAAAAACAACAGGGAUCUCCUAGAGAGAGUCCAAUGGAGGGCCAAAAAGGUGAUUAAGGGCUUGGAGCAUCUUCUGUAUGAGGAAAGACUGAGAGAGCUGGGACUGUUCAGUCUGGAGAAAAGAAGGCUGAGAGGGGAUCUCAUCACUGUUUAUGAAUAUCUCAAGUGCAAGAGUCAAGUCAAUGUGGGCAGACUCUUUUCAAUGGCAAGCAACAAUAGAACAAGGGGCAGUGGCCAGAAACUGAAAUAUGGGAAGUUCCAUACUAAUGCAGAGAAGAACUUCUUUACUGUCAGAAUGACAGAGCACUGGCACAGGCUGCCCGGAGAGGUUGUGGAGUCUCCUUCUAUGAAGAUCUUCAAGACCCAUCUGGACACCGACCUGUGUGACCAAUUGUAGGGAACUGCUUUAGCAGGGGGUUCGACCCAGUGAUAUCUUGAGGUUCCUUCCAACCCCUGCGAUUCUGUGAUUCUGAUUGUGUGGCUCUGUGAUUUAAGGCUGUGUAUUUUCCCUCUUCUCUUUUUACAGUUAUUUGAAAAUGUUUUUGUCCUGAAGUCACCCCUCUUUGACUCCCCUUAAAUGGAGUACCAAUCUGAGGUUGGACAUGCUUUAAUAGAGGCUGCUUCUUUCUUCUUCUUCUUCUUUUUUUUUUUUUUUAAGAGGUGGAAAUCAUGGAAUAAUAGAAUGGCUUGGGUUGGAAGGGACCUUAAAGCCCAUGCAGUUCCAACCCCUGCCCUGGGCUGGCUGCCCCCCACGAGGUUAGGCUGCCCAGAGCCCCUCCAGCCUGGUCUUGCACGUCUCCAGGGAUGGGUACCCAUAGUUUCUCUGGGCAGCCUUGGCUUUCCUGCUCCCAUCCAUGCACAUCCUGACAGCAUCUCUCUAUUCUUUGCAGGCCACUCAAUCCUGCUUCCGCUGCCUGCACAUUUUCUUUCCCUCACUCUGACCAGCAGGGACUUGCCCAGCCAUGCCAGUUUCCUGCCUCCUCUACUUGAUUUCUUAUCUUGGAGGUUGGAGAGCUCUUGUACUCUCAGAAAGGUGUCCUUAAAGAGCUGCCAUCUCUGCUCUGUUCCUUUGUCCCUAAGAACAACUUCCCAGGGGAUCUCACCCAACUACUCCCUAAGCAGCCUGAAGUUUGCUCUCUUGAAGUUCAGGGUCCUGACUGCUCUUUGCCAGGUGCAUAUUCCUUGAGAUCACAAAUGAGACCAGGGCAUGGUAGCUGCAGCCCAACCUGCCUCUAAUCUUAAUCUCUUUAUCUGUCUCCUCUGAAUUCAUGAGCUCCCUGGUCCAGUAACCCUUCUCCUCUGUCAGUUAGACUAAUACCUGGGCCAGGAAGUUACUGUCGGUGGGCUCUGGGAGUUUCCUGGGCUGCUUGCAGCUCACUGUGUUGCUUUCCCACAAGGCGUCUGGAUGAUUGAAGUCCCCAUCAGGAUUAGAGUCUGUGACACUUCUUGCAGCUGCAGCAAGAAUGCCUCACCCACAGGCUUUCUUUGGUCAGACAGCCUGUAGUGGACCCCAACCACCAGAUGUCCUUUAUUGGUCCAGUCCCUAAUUUUGACCCACAGGCUCUGAGUCUGAUUGUGGGUGAUUCUCAGAGGCAGCUCUUCACAGUCUAUCUAUUUCUUAACAUAGAGGGCAACUCCAGCACAGGAACAGGUUGCCCAAGGAGGUUGUGGAUGCCCCAUCCCUGGAGGCAUUCAAGGCCAGGCUGGAUAUGGCUCUCGGCAGUCUAGUCUGGUGGUUGGUGACCCUGCACAUAGCAGGGGGUUGGAACUCGAUGAUCAUUGUGGUCCUUUUCAACCCAGGCCAUCCUAUGAUUCUAUGAUUUCAUGAUUGUAAAAACCUCUCAGCCCUCAAUCAUAGCGUUCCAGUUGUGUGAUUUGUCCCACCGUAUUUCUAUGAUAGCAAUUAGGUCAUGGCUUUUUAAUAAUGACCUCAUAGGAAAAAAAUCACUCUCUUUGUCUUGAGCUGAAAAAUAUAGGCGUGUCCAUCUGUUAAGUAAGUUUUUGUGCUCAAAUGUAGAUACGGUUCUCUGAAACGCCUUAACAACUAUUAUGAUAGUGAAAGCAUCUUGACUGCAACUCGAGAGACCUGGAUUCUUUUCCUGAAAUAACCACUGAUUCUCAAGUCACUUAAUUUCCAUAUCUUGAAAACAGAGUAGUGUAUUUGCUGUCUUUCAUAAAGAGCAUUCAAAUCUACAUAUGCAAAGUGAUACGUAAACAUUUGUAAUAAUAUAGUGGGUGAUAUUCUCCAGGGAUAUAAAAAGGGGUGACCAGAAGAUGCUGGGAGAAUGAACUGACUUCUGCAGCUGUAGCUGAGCUCUUUGUCUUACUGGUGGUAAUUUGCAACUCAGAAUUUGGUGGUGGGGAGACAGAGUGCACAGUCAAUCAGAGUGCAGUCAAUUAGAGCAUGGUCAAUUAGAGCACGGUCUGAUUGACUGAACCUUAAGGAAACAUACUCUGUUUGUGUUUGCAUUAACUUAAAGGAUUCUCAAUCAUGAGGUAUGUGUAAACAUAGUGGGGUUUCUAUUUUCAAACUCCAAUUUUUCCUUUUCUGUUGCCUUCCAACUGCCACCUGAAAGAAAUCCCCUGUGGGAUUGCUUCUAAAAGUCCAAGCAUAUCUACAGCAAAAGAAGAACAUUUUGUCUUUACAUACUCACGCUGCAGAAAGGAAACAUUAUGUGGCACCGCAGCAUCAGACAUUUGCUAAGACACGCAGUGGUGGCCCUGUUUAAUUCCUCCUAGUGGACAAACUGCUCCAGCAGUCACCAGUCUAUGAGCUGACUCCUGGCUCCCUGAGGCAGUUAGUGCAGCACUGAGAUGCUGCUUUUAUUUCUGAGCCGUUUGGUGAGUGCGUUUUAAUCAGAGAUGUGGAAGAAGUGUUGGGGAGGAGGUGCAGCCUUCUCCUUCUCAGGUAAUUAAUCAUCUGAUUUUUGGUGUCUCAGUAAUUACUGUUGGCAAAAAAAAAAAAAAGUCAUUUGAAUGGUGGCAAUAUACUGCAAGCAAACAUAACUUUGAAUGACUUUGUUUCAGCCACUUGUCUGUUCUUCGUGAGCAUUUUUACAGUCAGCUGAGGACUUGUAACCAAGCCUUUGGCCACAACUGUCAGCUCCAGAUUGCCUCUAGCAGGCAAGGGUGUGAUUGCAAGAUGCUACCAUUGCUUCUGGCCGCUGGCCUUAUUGUGCUGAGUAUGCACGAAGGGACGUGCACAGCCCUGACUGCUGUUGGAUCUGAUUUCCACUGAAUUCUGCUGACCCUUAAACUGCUGCUGUGAUGGACUGAAGUAGCCUGAAGUGAACCUUUUCUCCCCAGCCAAAGCAAAAUGUUUAUCAGCAGCUCCUCUAAAGCCACUGCUGUUGCCCAAGUCUCUCCUUCUGCUGUUUGCUGCCUGCAGGAAGGCACGGGGAGAUAGCGAGCAGCCUGGGUGAACCUGCUCUGCUCCGACAGCCACUUUAGUUACCUGCCCCGAACCUCUGCUGCCAGCAGAGGCAGCUGUUGGUUCUGAGGCCAUCUGGAGGCACAAGGCAGGAUUUGAGGGAACUGCCUUUCUCUGGAGCCUCUUGUAGCACUCGUAGGCUUUGUUUAGUUAUUUAUCCAUCCUUCCAAUGCCCGUGCCAGUUUAGAACUUCCCAACGCUUUAACUACCAGAGUGUUCCUGAAUAGGUCAGAGUCAUUAUCCAUUCCUAUGAGGCAUACUGAACAGAAGAUUUGUUUUAAAAACAGAUGAAACAAUCAGCUUCUGAGCUAAUGUGGGGGUUUCUUGUUUACAUGGGCUUCAGCUCAGGCUGGACAAGGAGCUGGAAGAGUUUCUGCUGUGGGUACUCCUGUAUGUUCUUGCAGAGAUUCUUCGAACGCCGGUGGUUCUGUUAGCAUCCCUACGAGUGAAGCUGUGGUUGAGCAGAACCAAUUUAAAGUUGUUACAUUUGUCUGAGCUAAUCUUAUUUAUUUCAGGGCUUUUGCUCAGCUCUGCCCUUCUUGUUCCCGAGCACCUCUGCAUGAGUCGCCGCGGGCACAGCUGUGUGCUUAGGGACUCAGUUCUAUGGGAGCUCCCAGCUCAGGUUUGGGUACUGAGUGUUCCCCAGUCAGUAGGAGGAAAAAAACUCAGAAAUCCUCAGAGUGACUGCUGCCAUUACUUUGCAGAGAGCCUGUGAGAGCUCAUUUAUAAGGCAUCUGACAGCAAUCAGCACCAGAUCGUUCAUAAUGUCUUUGGAGUGUUUGAGGCCAGAUAAAUCCGACUGAUUUUCUGCCUUUGUGAAUAGCUGUGAGCAUAAAUUAAUCUCUAAUUUGAGGGGAAUGCUGCGUGUUAGAUGGAAAUGCAGGACGGAGCUGGAGGGGGCAACCUGGGCCUUUUUAUUCUAUCUAAACAUUAAAAUGUUCCAUCUGUACUUCUACUGCGAUCUGCAGUGGAAGUCAAAGGAAGGAUUUUGUCUCUCUUCUUUUAUAUUUAGCAUUUCUCUCAACACUUCAGAAUGUUGUCUCUGUUUUUUUGGACAAGGGGUGCAUGUUUUUUCCCACUUCUUAUUCAUUUAUGAAUUUAAAGGUCAACGUUGGGAUUUUUCGUACUCAGAAGUGUAUUUUCUGUUUAUUAUUCAUAUUUUAGGUGAGUGGUAUUUUAUUUACUUUAUUGUUUGUUCUAGAUGUUCAGCUAUAUCUGUGCUAAGAAAAAGGUCCAUUACUCGACGCAGGUGACUAGCUCUGGGUGCCCCCACCUGGUUGGAGCUGCCUAUUUCAUUGCAGUGUUGCUAAAUCCUUUCUGUAUGGUUUUCAUUCUGAAAAAGAUUAACCACAAAACAGCAAUGCAGGCAGUUCAGAUUCCUGCAGAGCACUGCUUAUGCAUUUGGUGUGUAUUUCAACUGGAGUAUGUCAGCAGCUGACAACAGGAAAGAAUCAUAGAGUGGCCUGGGUUGAAAAGGACCACAAUGACCAUCAGUUGCAACCCCCCUGCUAUGUGCAGGGUUGCCAACCAUCAGACCAGGCUGCCCAGAACCACAUCCAGCCUGGCCUUGAAUGCCUCCAGGGAUGGGGCAUCCACAGCCUCCUUGGGCAACCUGUUCCUGUGCUUGGACUGAAGGUACCGAGCUCUUCAGAACUGACUGACCCUGGCAGUUCUGAUUUGAGGUGUAAGGCACGGAUCUGAGCCAUACGUGUUCUUUGCCACUAGGGUGGUGAUGCAGACAAGUUGAUGUUCGGAAGGCAUACAGCUAUGCUGGGCUAAUGUUUGAGCCUACAGUAAAGUGCCUACCACAAACCCAUCCUUCUUGAUAUAAAGAUGUCAAAUAUUCUUUUACUACUGUUAAAGGACAUAAAGGAAAAGUUGCAGAAAGAAAUUCCCUUCUGAGAUUUUCAGUUGUAAAAACUGUUGUUCUCAUACAAACUUCAAAGCAAAGCUAGAAGAACACAUGAAGAGGCUAUUAGUGCAGCUGUGGUUUCUAAAAUACGUGGCUCAUGCAAGUCCUGAAAGGUACAACUGCUCCUUUACCAGCAUGAAAGCUGGAGAGCAGCAGAGCCCCGACAAGUGCAGGAGGCUGUUUGGAUGUCACACAGUUCAGUGGUCUCACAGUCCCAGUGUCAGACACACAGAGCCAGGCCCAGGCUGAGGUUGUCCCAGAAGAUCGUUGCUGUAGAUUACUGAAGUACAAAGGCUUGUAAACAACUACAGUGUCCACACGCGGGGCUGAAAAUGAGCUGUUAAGAGCUGAAAAUAUCAAUGUCUGAAAUUGGAAUUACUGACUCCUACUGGUUAGAGUUCCACCUCUCCCACGUAGAGAAUUGUUGGAUGCUCAUAAUGUAGCUUUUCACACUUUUUACUCUGUCCCUUAAAUGAUGUCUGUUUGAAUGUGAUUUCUUGAAGCCUUCAUUAUUUGUAAGUGAUUAUGUCAGGCUUUGAUAUAUUUUAGCUAUGAGAGUGUUUGAAUUAUCUGCUUUUCUCCUUUCAGCUGUCAUUUCAGGUAAAUGACAAUUCUGCAAGUUUGUGGUUUUGACUUCUCACCUCAGCGGUUUGGAUCAGUGAUUGAGGACGUGGACCCAGGAAUUUGAAGAUGAGCUUCACUUUUAAUGUCUUCAUUUGGACACCAAGCAAAUCCCUAACUAAUUGAGGCUGAAAUGCCUUAGGAUGAUAUUUGCUGUUCUUUAUUUAAAUUCAGAGAGUUUAUCACCACACGGACAUUUCAGUUGCUUAUUCUAGGAAACUCAUGGAAACGUGCUUUGUUAAAUAAUGUAUUUUCUAUUUUUUUUCCCUUCCUUGUGUUACAAAAUGAAUGUAAAAGCUUUAAAACCCAGCAUUCACCACUCUGCAGUAGAUCUAAUAGAGUGGCAUUAUAUGAAGAGAUGCCAUGGUAACUGAAGUUGCCAAGACAGUCAGUGUCAAGCUUUUUAAUGGUGACUGCUAUACUAUAUUUGGCUUUGAUUACCACAAUCUGAAUAGCAAAUGGAAAGUGUUCACCGGUCUCAUUUGCUACCACCUACAGUCCAGAAGUAACGAGAUGACAGAAUUCAGUGUUGCACUGACUGCCAACCACUGGCCAUCAGGAUUGUUCUUUGCAGCACUCCCCUCUCCCACUGGAUCUCAUGGCAUCCUUAUCACAGCCUUACCAUUUGUGCUAUCCAGUUGGUGAUAUGCCACUUGUCUUAAUGAAAUUUGGCACCUGAAGCCAGUAGAGGAGUCUGCACUUUGUGAGCUGGCAAAAAAUCAGCAAAGUCAUUUCCACAGGAAACUGUUCUUUAAAUCUGUAAGUGGUGCGAAAGCAGAAUAAAGCAGAAACGUACACUGUUUUUUUCUCAUAAAUGGGUUAAGUGUACCUUACCUCCCUUGCUGUAAAGCUUUGUAGAUCCUGUUAUCAUCAGUUUUCACAAAAAUGAUACUUUCUUCUGUCUCCAUAAUUUUGGUUUAUUUUUUAAAUGCCAGAAUAGAAAGCGAGGUCCCAUCGCCAAGGUGCCAUUUUAUCAUUUUGCUCACUCUAAUACAAAUGAUUUACCUAUACACUGAAGUAUUACCGUAAGUUAUAAUGAAGCUCCUUGCUAAAACGUGCAGCAGCAGUUCCAAAACGUUACUCAUUACCUUUAAAUCCAGAACUAAACUUUCUGCCAGUAGUAAUAGCCUCAUGCUGUUAAAAAGGACUGUUUUUAACAUGCUGUUAAAGGACUGCUUUACUUAAAAGGAAGCAGUCACAGAGCAGACUAUGAAAUGCUUCUUGAAUGAGAUGAACAGUCCUGGCCAUAACAGUUGUAGACUAUUGGGAAACUCAAUAGGCAGCUAACAGGAACAACUUGGGUAGGAAGAGCUUGAGGGUGAGUGCAGCUCAGCUCAGAACAGCCUUCUGUCAUUCUCUCUUGCAGUUAGGCAGACAUAAACAAAGAAGCAUGAUGGGAAGAAACUGAUAUCUUGGAGGGAAGGGAAAGACUAAAUAAAGAGUAGGGAAAAAGCUUUAACAAUGUGAUUCUUUAGAUAGAAAGCUAGUCUCAAAAGACCUAUCCCUUGACACAUGAAAAAUUGAUUGGAGAAAGCAGUAGCAAAUAGUUUUCCAGGAAGAAUGUUGUAUUGGCAGGAGGAUGGAUAAGAUGAUCACAGUUCAUUUACUUAAGUUAUAUCCAACAGCAUUAUGAAGUAGGAGAAUAUAUGGGUGAUUUCAUGUGGUUUUGGAUCGUGUGGAUUUUGAACAAACCAGUCAGGAGGUAGCAGCAUUGCUUUGGAGAUCAGCAAAUGAAGAAAAACAGCUUCAGUUGAAAGGGAACAGAUUUGACAGGAAAAAUUCAUAUUUGUUAAAGAUUGGUUUAGAAUACUGACAUCAAAUCUCACUGUCAGUGGAUAUUUUCUUCAACGGCUGUAUCUCUACUGCUAAAAUGCAACACAACAAAUUCAGAUUCAUUCCUAAGAUCAAUUUGUUCAAGUCAACAAAAUUUUUGUCACACCACUGUUAAACCUGAGAUGCCUCAAAUAAAGAGUAUAACUUGGCUUGAAAACAGCACGAAGGAUGAAUGUAAUCCAUGCCAUCGAGAAAAUAGCCAAUGUUAAACUAGAUGAGUUUGACACCAAUUCAAAAGGCAUCUUCUUGUGUCCUACAUUCUAGUAAUUUUGUUGACUAAAUUAUGUGUUUAAAUUUAUACGGCAAACUCAGGCCAGCAUUUGGGUUCCUGUGAUUAUUCAUUUGUAAGGCUGUGAAUGCUUAUUAAUGGCUCCUGGCUUUAGAAUGAGCGUUUAUGCUUCCAAAGCACUGCACAUGACUAAUUUGUUCUUCUGCUUAUUCGAAAGCAGCAGGGGUUGUCAAGAAGCCAAAUCUACACUGAAUUAAAACCACGUUGCUUUGCUUCCAUAGAAGAGGUAAUACUUGGCUGUUGUAAAAAAGUCACACUUCAAUUGAGCAUCAGUUCAUCACUGAAACUACAAAGUGGAGCAGUCGCAGAGGUAAGGUGAUGGUAAAUGCAAUGUGACGUUUCUCCUGGGCCAUACUGCAGAGAAACCUUACCUUUGUGUGGUGCAGCUGAUGUUGUGUACUUCCCAGAAAAAACAAAAGAGCUGUAAGGUUGCAGCAGAAUGCCAUGUCAAGGGAACCCAGAGUCUAAUUAAUCUCAGAGAAGUAUAAAGCCAUAACGAGUACCCACUUCAUUUUGUUUGAGUUGGUUUCUGUCCAGGUUAAAGUGAAACAGAGUGACCUGGUUGUAUGUAUGGGCCUGAAUGCGUUCCCAUGUUCUGCUAUAUAUCCCCACUACUAAGAUUCAGUCUAACCUCCAGCGUUUGGCAACCCUUAUUGUCUUCUGCCAGUUCUUCAGUCUUCAGAGGAGGUUUGAAGCUUCUCGAUAACGAUUUCACAUAGCAGUUGUGGAUCCUAAUGGUAAAUAUUUUUGGUUGGCGUUCCCUGAGGCUGCCAGUUAGCAGCUAACAGUGACACUCGACUGGUUUCUGUGCAGUGGAACUGUGCAGUUAGAUUAAAUCUCACUGAGUUAUUGCAAGGAGUUACACUGUGGCUAAAUGUUUGUACCACUGCAACCUGUAGUUUUCAAUAUAAUUCUCUGCAGCCUGGCAAGUGCAUUAAUGGUUUUACAUAGUGCGAGGAACAAAAGGUUGCGCAGCUGCUGGAGGUGGUUAUAAAAAGGCCCAUUUAACAUUCAUAGAUUCAGGGAAAGAAAACAGGAUAACCCUGCUGCUGGUUGUAGGGGUGAGUGUGAGCAGCUGCUUCAUGCGAUGCACAGCUGUGCCAGCGAUGUGCUGCAGAAGCGAUGAAUUAAGCUGUAAAGUGCAAGUCUCUGUGUACAACGUCCCGUUUUUGGAUAGCCCUGGAAAGUAAUGUAGAAGCUGUACAUGAGUGCCUCAAGUCUCUUUGCUUGCCUGUGCAGCAAUUAAUUUCAUACCUAUGCUAUGAAACCCCUGGAACAUCCCGUGUAGUGCGCAAACCAAGCGCUGUGCACAAACCUCCCAGCUAGACCAGAGGAAUUUAUAUCCCCUUCACUGACACACACAGACUGCUGGGUUGGUGCAAUGCUCUGAUGUGUUGGAUAAUAUGUGCAGGUCGUUGAACUUCAGUAGUACUGGAACAUGUGGAACAAACACUCUUGAAAUGAAGAAACUCCCAGCUUUGGGGCUGUGGCUGCAACCCUCCAAGGUGCUAGAUGUGUGAAAUGUGUUCUUCAGCACUGUACCUGAACAAAAAUCCUUCUGUCACUCCCUAGAAUUGCUAAAAAUGCUAGUUGUGUUUUAUAGAUAAAUGAUUGAUUGUGAGUUGUUGGCAUCAGCAACACUGCAGGCAUCACCGCCAUGCAGAGCUUUGUCUGAUUCCUGCCUGGCCAGCAAUGGUAAAUAGGUGCAGGGCUGGAGGAGCUCCAGGUGUCACUGUUAGGACAGCACCUGGGUAACUGGAGGGGCUUGUUUGUCACUGCUGAGGGAUUUCUGUGACCAAGACUCAACAGCUGCAUGCAGGGCAGCUCUGGCUGAAUCACACAGCUUCAGGUGUGGGAAGCAGCACUGCUUUAUGGAGGCUGCCUUUUUACUUUGGAGGUUUCUUAGCUGUUACAUAGUUGGUCACUGAUAACUUUGGCACAUUUUUGGUGGAGUAAUCUUGCCAGCAGCUUGAUACGUAGCUACAGAAAACAAAACAAAAGCAUCCUCACUUUCCUCAUUCUUUCCCCUCAAAUGAAGUAAUUUGAAAAGUGCAGAGCUCUGUUAAAAAGCAGAAUCAUCUGGGAAAGGAAAUUUGUCCUGACAGAGAUGGCAGGGGUUUGCUAAGCAGCAAGGCUGUGUGACUCCAUCCUCGUGGAACUGCUCCAGCACUGACCAGACGCACUCCUUCCAGGUCAGGACAGUGGGAGCUUGAGCCUUACUCUGUCCAAACAGCUUUGGACCAGACUUUGCUGCUGUCUCCUGCUCUGUGGUCCCGUUAUCUAUGGCAGCUUGGUUGGAAUGGUGUUGCUCAGACCUCUUGGGCAAGUCACUGCAAGCCCUGGUUGCUGGGAGAUCCUGUCUGCUUAUCGCAACUCCAGCCAGUGCUAUGACUUGCAAGACGCAGCAUGCUGAGGGCCCUCACUAGCACCUUGUCUCUCUAACUUUGCUAUGGGUUUGUCAUGGGCAGGCUCACUGUCACCCCUUUCCCCCUUCAAACCUGGUUUAAAGCCCCCUCAAUGAACUCAGACAUCUCCUGGGCUAGAAUUCUUUUCCCCUUAGACUCGGGUGGACUCCAUCCAAGCCAGGCUCCAAGUAAACCACCCUGUAGUCAGAAAAGCCAAAAUUCCUGCAGUGGCAUCAGGCUGUCAGCCAUGUAUUUAUCAAACAGACUUUCCUGGUCCUCUCAGUAUCCCUCCCUGCAACUGAAGGGAUUGAGAACAUCAUCUGUACUCCCGCUCCAUCCACUGCCCUUUGGUAUUUGUAAUGUUUGUCACAGUUGUUGGUUCUUGGAAGAAUGCAGUGUGUGCUGCUAAAUGGGGAUGGAAAAUGCAACAGCCGCAUCCAUGUAUAUUGAAAUGCAUUGUGUAGCAUUACAGAAGUGUUUUCAUAAAGCUGACAUUCAGAAAAACAUUCAGAAAUACAUAUACUAUAGCAAUACUAGACAACAUCUGUUAAUAUUUUAUGCUUUUUUAAACUCACAGCCCUUGGAGAAGGAGAGAUUUGACAGUGAAAUAUUCAAUUGAUUUCAGCAGCAGUGGGUCAGAUCCACAAAUCAGGCCAUUGAUGUAAUUUGUCCCUAGAGCUUUAGCUGUCUAUGGAUGCUGGUAAGGUACUGGUGCCUGUUGUUGCCUGCCCUUGGCAGCAAGAGCACUCCCCAUUUGUAAGGAAGUAAUCUAAUUUUAUUCAUCUUCUUGCUUCAUCUUAGACUUUAUUGCCAUCUGUCUUCAUGAGGUAGAUAGAUCGUUUGAGUGUAGCCUUCUGUACUGUCGUUGUCUUUUGUUUCCCUUACAGAGAGCUUGUGUAGAUACUCACUGCUGUUACUGAAGUGGACUGGAGUUUUAAACCUGUUGCCUGUCCUCUUCAUCUCGUCGUAACACAACCUGUUCUCUUGGCAUGACAAAGUAGAAGCUUCCUCUGCUCAGCCUAGUGACAUGUCACCUGGUCACCAACCUUUCAUCUCCUCUUAUAAUAUCCAUGCUGAGUAGUCCUUACAGAUUGACUCUGUGAUAGACAGUCUGUGUGAUGUCUGAUUGGCAUAGAUGGACAGAGGUUGCUCCAAAAGUAAUGCCUCCUAUUUAUUUCCAUGGAAACCAACAGAUACAAAGAGCACAAUAUUAUUGUUUGAUAGAGCACAUUCUCAGCUACAAAACACUGUUUUUCAACACAGAUACCACCAUUAACAAGCAUUUGCAAGCUGUAUUCAUAAAAAUCUGCCUGACCUAUAGGAACGUGGCUUGUCUUUCACAUUGCUGUCACCACUGCUGAAACACACCAUGCACCACCUCAGUGUGUUCACAUCCUCUGUUCGGUCUCCAUUGAUGGAAUGUCAAUGGGUGCCAUUUUUUCUGCAUGGAGGAAUUUAGUCCCACCCCUCUACUCCAUUCAUACUUCCAUGUCAGAUGCCAUUCUUUCCGAUUGCCCCCCUACUGCCAUCUGUCAUAAAGCAAAAAAAUAUAAUGAAAUAUUGACGGGAAGGUUCAACUUCUACUGCCAUCCCAGCACCAUCCACCUCUGAUGUUGUGGGCCAACAUCAUAAAAUAGGAGGCAUUACUUUCAGAGCAGCCCUCAUAACCGAGAAUGUUUGAAUUAAGUGUGCAGCUGUCUUGAUAGCCUGACAGUAACUUCAGCAAAGGGUGGCAGUGCCUAGGCAGAAUGUGUCUGAAAGCAGGAUUCCCAGUCUGGGAGGUGGAAUUACUUCUCUCUUUGUAUCUUGAUUAUUUAUUUUUGCUGUAUCAACUCUAAUGCUGGGCUUUUGUGUUCACAUCAGCACUUGGUGGAACCAUAUUGGUGGCCCUUUUGAUGGAGGUGAGAGUUUGUCAUUGGUGUAAGGAGAUUUCAUUGUUGUAUCAGUUCUGUAGUUCUUUGACACUCCUAUGUAAAUAUGGUAAAUCCAAACCAAUCCAUGUAUUUGCAUCUCUCCGAGGAUCUGCUUUGAAAUCUGCAUUUCAACAGCCUUUGUAACCGUACCUCAACACAAUGCAGAUAAGAAAGUGCUUUCUGCCAUCCCUGUUAAAAUGCAAGACAGCUUUUCCAGCUGGACAUAACUGCGUACCUUCACUGGUCUCCCCACAAUUGGGAUUUUUCUUCCUUUCCAAGAGUGAGCAGUGCCAUCAUGCCACCAAGCAUGGCAGCAGCUGACACAGGGAUUAAACUGCUUCUUCCUUGCUCUCUGCCUGGAAGAUAAUUCUUGAAGGAAGUACAGUAGGAUUUAGGAAAAAUUUCUUCUUCAAGAGAGUGGUCAGACACUGGAAGGGGCUGCCCAGGGAGGUGGUGGAGUCACCGUCCCUGGAGGUGUUCAAGAAACAUGUAGAUGUUGUACUGAGGGCCAUGGUUUGGUGGGGAAGUACUGGUGGUAGGUGGAUGGUUGGACUGGAUGGUCGUGGAGGUCUCUUCCAGCCUUGGUGGUUCUAUGAUUUUCAGCACAUGUACAUAUUUAAGGCAUUUUUUAAAGUGUGUUUCUGAACUUCAUAUUUAGAAACCUGCUUAUUCAAGCUUAUGCUUUGCUAAGUUCUAGGAAAUGAAAUUAACUUGAAGAGCAACUUACUGUAAUUUACUGUGAACAAGUUGUAUCUGUAACAGAAGCUUGCUGGCACAUGCUGCUUUAGGUUGGACAAGGGAUAUGAGUGUGUGUAUCUUUCUGCUAUGUGGUAAGACUCCACGUGAGGAUAGAGGUCCUGGGGCCUCAGAGGAAGACUGAUGUCUUGCCUGAGGAGGAAAUUCAAGGUGUGCGGUCAUGGUUGAUGUAAAAGCCAUUCUGCUCACCCUGCCCUUUGGGCAGUCUGCCCUUCCCAUCCUGCAUAGGUCAAUCCUUUAGGUCCAUCUCAUACGCUGUGGACCUUGCGUUAAAGGGGAGAAUGCACUGCUGGAGGUGUGCCAGUUUCUGAUUCCAAAUGUUGGUGCAUCUUCUCAGCUUCUUUCAUGCUUUCUCUGGCGAUUGCUUCCGUGAAUACAAAAUCUGACAAAUAAUUGCAUUUUGAAGGGCAUGCUUAAUGGAGGUCCAUAAAAAUGAUUUACAGGCAACUGCAAACUGAACUAUUACACUAAAGGAUAAAAAGCUUCCUUAAUGAGCUGUACAAGACAGUUAUUGAUGUAUUUAUGAAAACAUUCCCCAGUACAUGCAACCAGGGGAAUUCAAAGAUAAAUAUUUAAAGAUUGUCUGACAGUUUUUGAAUGUAGCAAAACUCGGGUUCCUCUGGUUCCUCUGUAGGGCAGUAAAUGUCUUGAAACAAAAGUAUGUGUGAUUUGUAACAGAAGAGAACAAAACCUGUCUUAAAACUAGAUGUCUUUCUAUGUGACAAUGCUUUGUUCAACCUAAGAGAUAAAGCAAGGAGAAAAUAGGCAUGGGAAGCUUAAGAUAUUAAUAAGGUAAGCCAACAUUUUUUUUCUAUCUAGGUAAUUUAUUAGAAUGGUGUCAAAGAAAUGUACUUAAGAUGAUGAAAUGUAACAACAGUUUUGCGUUUGAUUGAGUUUCCUUCCAUCCCAUCAUUGCUGUACACAAUCAGGUUAUUCAAGUGUGAUCUUUAAGUGUUCACAUUGUGAUUUAUAAUCUUGAUCUUCGCACCCCAGGGAGAGAAAAAUUGGUCUGUUGUUAUGAAUCUGAUUAAUAUAUAGAACAAUGUGUGCCCUUUUGGUAUUUAUUACACACAUGUGCUUUUAGUUUGGAUUAUCUCAUUGUUACUUGCACUUUGCAGGCAUACUGCAUUACUCUCUGAGUAACAAACUGUAGAAGCAUUCUAAGUAUUGGGGCUGACACUUGGUGUGGCAUCACCUUGUCAUUGGUGCGCUUUAUAUCCUUGACUGGCUUAAUAAUUGAUAAUUUUUAAAUAAUAUGGUUUUCUUUAGGACCACAGCUGCUGUGUCAUGUAACUCCUCCUGCCAUACAGAACGAAGAUCUGGCUCAUGCUAUUAAAUAAGCUCUAGAGUCUUUUUUAGACUUCUUCCACCACAUUGUUUCUUGGGCUACAGACUGAGACUGGGCUAUGGAGCCUUUUCCUUUGAAGGUUGGUAGAAGGAGUGAAUGAGGGACAGGGGCUGUGCUAGCCAGCCUGUGAAAGGUGCUGGCAGCUGCCCUGAGUGUUGCUCAUGGGUAGAAGAGCUGCAUUAGCAGCCAGUGCUGAAGGUUAAUAGAAGAGUUUUAGUCUUGGGGGAUCUCUUCUUCAGCACCAAGAAGGGUUGUGAUGAAGCUGAAUUUCCCCCUGGGUGACGAUGCUGGUCCCGUUUUCACUUACAAGAACAUGGAAUAUAUUCAUCAACAUUCAUUAACUUCAUGGAUCUCAAGGAAGCACUCAUAACCUCCACUAAGACUUCUGAGUUGUAAGUGUAGUAUGGGGUAGUAUUUAAGCUUUUCUAGCUUUCUGCUGGGAUAUAAGGGUUUGGGUUUCUUUCUUUGUUUUCCUUGAUGUCAUUUGAUUGCUUCAAAUUUUACUUUUUUGGCUUAUUUUUCCUGUUUCAUUUCCCCUGUAAGGACGCAGCAGUUCACAUGCACCAAAGUCUCUGUAAUAGUGUCCUUACAAUGAAAGGGGAUUUGUGUACUAAGGAUUGUAUCAGUGAAAAACUAGUGUUGGAUUUUUGCUAUGUGGGAAUGUAAGGCAAGGAGAGCAGAAAAGGAAUAGCCAAUACUUUUGAUAGUUAAGGAAGCACAAGGGUACACAUACAAGUCCUGAGCCUUGGAAAGGUUCUCAGUCCAGCUCUGUAUAUCUGACUCAGUAUGGAACAGCCUGUGUUAAUUUAACUUAAAUCUCUCCUGCACCAAAUUGUAGGUGGGAAGUCUGUUGAUCAAAGCCAGACUUUUAAAGCAGGUUUCCUGUAGUAGUGUGUAAAAUCAGUCUUUGUACAAGAGUAGUUCUGUCACCUGCCUUGCAAGCAAAUUACAUUAUGCAAUUUAGAGCCCAAGUAUGGCUUAACUUCAGUGGAUAAAUCUCAUGCCUGUUGUGAAAGCAUUCAUGUCCUUGGGGCCUGUAUUUGAUUUCUCAAUAUGUAGGAACAAUAGAAAUUUGAAGAUUUUGAUUGAAAUGCAACCCAUGGAUUAUGCACGUAACCAUUUGCAGCCUUUACUUAUGCACCUGUUGUGAAGACGCAUCCACACUAAGGAACUGCAGCUCAGCCUCUUUGCUUGGCUGCAGUGCCUUUUGGUGUAAGCUAGUGGAGAUGUUUUGCCUCUAUCAGAAGAACUGAAGCACUGUUCUUCCAGGGAGGCCGGCAGCAACAAAGAAAGAAGGAUGCCCUGAAUGGCUGUUGGAGGCUGUCAGACUGUUAUAUCUCUUGUAUUUACUGCUUUACUUGUUGCCUUUGGAAGAUUAUUGCUGUCAGUGCUUGAAGGACCCUGCUCCACAGUCACCUAGAUGAUCUCACCUUCUAUUCUGUAUUGUUUUCAGAAAAUACAAUGGUUAGCAUGUUAAUGGUUAACAUACAGUUUUAGCAGCUUCAGUUGCAUUAUAACUCAAAAAUUCUGUCAAGAAGAACUUAGAUUGAGCUUCAGAUUCUGACAGUGUCCUGAAGACAAUCUUACUGGCUUCUCCCAGGUGACUUGCGUUUCCAUUCUGCAGGCUGGAGCAAUGUGAUGCUGAGGUGAUCCAGAAUUUCUGACUCUGUGCAGAUCAGCCCUGUCCCUGAGCAACCACCAGGCAGGUACGAUUUAGAUGAGGGUACAAAAGCAUGGAGACCCCUCAGAUUUAUGGGUGCCUCAGUCACCUAGAGCAGAUUGUCUGUGAGAUGAGAGUGCACAGAGACCACAGUUGGAUAUUGUACACCUCUGGAGUAGUUACCUUGGCAACUAUCAUACUGUGUGCGGUUUGGUUGCGAGGAACUGGCACAGCAGAGAAGUGUGACAUGUGAGACAUAAUCCUCCGUGCAUUUCCGAAGAUGGCAAGCAGGUGAUGGCGUGAGCAUUUCUGCUGUUGGCAGCGUAACGGCCACGAGCUCAUUGCUGUAGCAGCCCUACUCUCACAAUUUAAAUUCCUCAUGUUAACAAAAAUGAAGAGCUGUGCAGUGGUACAUGUUAUCAGCACUUUUUCUGGAGGAGUUCCUUGAGAAUGAAGGUGAAUAAAACCAUCCUGCUUACCUCACCACCUCCCACUCGUUUUGCCUAAAACGCCUCAUUGAAAUUUCUUAGCAGAGCAGGGCUGUGCAGCUCCUGGAGGAUCCUCUUAGAUCUUGGUUGGUGGGAGGUGGAUUUGCCUGGGCUGCUGACUUCUUUUUCUUCAGAGACCUCGGUAAGCUGUGUGAGUUCCCAGGGCACCCAUCCCAUCCCCCUCCCAGCCCAGGGGAGCCCACAUGGCUCAGAAUAAUGAAGGCCCUUACUGAGGGUGUCAGGGUUCACGAUUCCUCUCCUCUAGUUCUUGUGAUGAUUCUAUAAGGCGCCAGUAGGGCUUGUUAACAGAGCUGAUCAAUGAAACUUGUGUGCAAGGAUCGCUAAGAUCAAUUCUGCAAUGAAUCAAAGAGUCCUUCCAGUAUUGACUUUCUUUUUAAACAGCAAAAACUGGAAGAAAAAAAAAUAUAAGAGUAUUCACCACUAUUGGUGUGUGUGGCUGAGCCGUCCCUGAAGGGCAGCAGUCUGCAUGCAGCUGUGCCAGGGGUUCCAGGUGGCACAGACCUCAGAGACCCCCGAGUGAGGAAGCAGAGAUGGGGUUGCUCAUGGUGCUGUAUUUUGGCCCAUGCUCAGUGCGUCACUGUUGUUUGAAUCUUAAAAAGAUUGCCCCCUCCUCGUUCCAUUUUAGUUUCCUGGUCGUAGCUUUUGUCUUUCCAUAGCAAAUGUGGUUCCUCAAGCAUUGCAGAGUACGGGCGCUUUUACUUGACUUUGAAAUAUUUUAAGCCUGAUUCUCUUUCACUUAGCUUUCACUUCUAGAAAUGAAAAAUAUCAGAAUAGAUGGAGUUGCUCAUUUUCUGUGUAAUUCAGUGAGAACUCUGUCAGGUCAAGUCUAGCACAGACAAGAGGCCCCUCACCGCUGGGUAGGAAGAGACAGCUUGGUAGUCUGCAUUCCAAGUCAAGGUGCAUUUCCAGGAGAGGUGGGAAGGGGGGUGGCAAAGCAAGUUUCACAGAACUCUCUUAGUUCUCCUUGGUGGAGUAAUCCCUGUUAAAAAGCUGACUGAUCAAUGACCAUAAGGAGAUAUACCACUGUCUUGUACAGGCUUACUGUACUUGGAAGUGCAAUCAGUGUUUUAAUGACUGUUCCCUGCUGCAGUAUGUUUAACUGCAUUGAUUGAUACCUUAAAACUGUGGCUGUUCAUUAGGCUUUAAAAAUUUUCCUUCUUUAUGUGUUGUAUGUGGGAGUGUAAGCCAUCAGCUUAUGUAAAAUGUAACGUUGUCUUUUGGGAUACCCACUCAUUUAAAAAUAUAUAUAUAUGAAAAAAGAUCAGGUGGGUUCAUUCGUCAAGGUGUGAAUGCUUAAGACCAUUUUACUAACGUGAAACCAAAAUCUGGUGAUUUUAGGGGAAUCACAGAAUCACCAAGGUUGGAAAAGACCUCCAAGAUCUUCCAGUCCAACCAUCCACCUACCACCAAUAUUCCCCACUGAGCCAUAUCCCUCAGUACAACACCUAAACAUUUCUUGAACACCUGCAUGGUUGGUGACUCCACCAUGUCCCUGCGCAGCCCAUUCCAAUGCCUGACUACUCUCCUGGAGAAGUGUUUCCUAAUGUCCAACCUGCAUUGGAGUUAACAUUCUGUUGUGUUUUAGUGAGUAGAGCACAGUGUAGGGUGGGUUUCUUGUACAAGUGCAUCUAUUCAUUCAGCAGCAAUACAAACCCACGUCAGUAUGGUUUUCAGCACACCCAUGGGUGUGGAUGGGGUUGCUGGUGCUCUCAGGUCUGCUGCUUCCCGCUGUAACAAGCAGCCUGAAAGCUGCAGCUUGCUGUGUGUGUUCACACAGCCUGUCAGUCUGCUGCUGCCAUUUGAUUUAGGAUGAUGAAAGCAGGAGCAAAAUCCAGCUAAAAGUGAAGUGAGUUGUGUUGGAUGGAUUUGUAACUCCUGGUGACCUGAGGAAGGAGAGACGAUGCCGCCGGAUGUCACCUGGCGGUGGGCAGACACCUCAGCCCUGGCUGUAAGUACGGGAGAGUUUUGCAGCUGCAGUCUUCCUUUUCAGCUUUGUUCUCACAGCUCUGGGCCUUCUGGUCGGAUCCAUGCAGGGCUGCCGUGCCGUGUGUCAGUCAGUGCCCUCCCACAGGCUGGGAGCUCUGUACAAUUUGCCCUUUUGAAACAUGAUCCUUUGUUCCUACUGAACUCGGGGCCACUAUCCCAGGAACCUCAUUCCAUUUUCCAGCUGUCUGAAAUUGGGCUUUCUGCUGCAGAGGAUUUUCUUGCCAUAUCAGAGAUUCCCUCUCCCUCCAGGCUUUUUAUUGCUAAAACAGUAGGCUAUGAAUGCUGCAUCAUGGUGCAUACAGGUGUGUGUAUCAGUGUUUGUGCCAGCACACUGCAGGCGUUAUCUUAUGCUGUGCAUUUGUGAAAGUGCUGUGAAUGUUCUGUGGGUUAUAACACUCAAUUGCACGGUGCAUCUUCCCAAAUUCCCACAAAGAACAGCAGAACUGACAGCAAGAGAUGCACUAACAAAAUCACACGGAGCUCUUGCCAAGCAGAGGGCAGUUUUGUUCCUAGGCACUGAAGGACAACGAUGACCAACAACAUGCUUGCUCCUAUAUUAAUAGGUUUUAUUUCACCAUAAAUCUUACCGCACACCCUGCAGCUUGUUGUGCCUUUGCCACACUAAACCGUCCUGCAGGACGUUGCUCACAUCUUGUUCACGUGCUGUCCUUUCUGAUCAACCUGCCAGGCGAUGGAGCAGGAUAGGGAUGUCAGGGCAGAACUGACCAGGAGGUACGGACUGCUUCAGCCAGGAGGAACAACACUGACUCCUGUGUUUUAUCUGGCUGCUGGCUGUGGGAAUCCUGCCAACCAGCUGGUGAAAACGGUAUAAAAUCUGACUUUGUGUAAUAUUACACUUGUUUCUGUGAUCCUUGCUUUUAGCAAAUAGUUCAUUCCUAACCGCUGUUGGGAAGCAGGCAGACUGACAGUGCUGUGAGUGCACGUGGGCUCUGCUCUGCAGACACAGCCUGUGUUUCCAGGGUUGUACUCCAUCUCCCUUCCAUGCUUUGGUACUCAGAAAGGAUUAACUUUGCCCUCAGUGCCUUUACACAAACAGCACUAAAAUAUUUGAAGGAAUGUGAUUUUCUCUGGGGCUGGAUGGAAUUAAAGCAUUGUACUUGUCGUGAUUUAAGGUUGUUUCUGAUGAUGGAGGCUGGCUGAGGUUUCUCACUUCUGCUGUCCUCUCUUGCAUGCCUUGUUUCCUACAGUCUGUGUAACAAGCUUUCCCAGGGGAAAUCUCCCAGCAACAGCAUGCGCUGAUGAUGCUGUGACGCCUGGCUGUCGGAGUUGUUGCACACAAAUAGGACUGACAAGUGAAACAGAAAAUGUGAGACUAUCUGAUGUUCCAGGGAGGAUGGCUGAAGCAUGGCCACUGCAGGAACGCGGCUCAGUUAAACUUGCUUCUCCCACAGCAAAGAUCAUUAGGUUAAAAAACAGCUGGUCUUUUGACAGGCCUGCUUUCCAAAUGAGACAGCACCAACACCAGCUUUCAGUUUUAAGAAGCUGCCAUUAUUUAUCCCUUUAAAUCACUGAUUUUAUUAGUUCUGCUGGCAGCUUUCUUAGCUGAAUCUGCAUUUUGUGUAAUUUGUUGUAAUUCACUUGUGCGGGCAGGUUACUAUUUUCUUUGUGCUUGUAACUGUGAUUACAGUGUUCAGACUUUCCAACCCUAGCACUGUACCCAGGGUAGGCAGUGUCACCUGUUGAGGUUGCCCAAGAGCUCCCACUAUAAAUCCUAAUUUCUAAUACAUCCAUGUAUCUCUACAGCAGUCCCUGUGCAGACUUGUUGCUGGCUCACGCCUGCCAGUACUUCACAGAGAUGCAGGUGAGUGUCUCAAUUAAGCAGGUGAGCUGGAAGGUGCUUUCCCCAUCAUCGCUUGCAGACUGUCUCCCUGUCAUCUCCUUCUGUCUGACAUACCUGAUUGUUUUUGCUGGGCCGCAGUGUGCAGAAAUGACUGUGGCAAUAAUUCUUCUGCUCUCCUUAAACCUUUCAGAUGCCAUUGGUGGACUUUUCACUGCUGGACAGAAGGCAUUUGUGUGAUUGCUUGUUGUGAAGUACCUUCUGCAGAGACUGCCUGCAGUUUUGGAAGGCAGCUGGAUAGCAUCAUGCAUUAGUAAUCUAAUGACCUUUACCCCUCGGCACCAUUUCCUCACAUCUUGAACAGCUUGGCAAUACUAGGAAAGCAUCCCAUGGUUCAGUACAGUUGUGUAAUAGAAGUUCUUCUCAUUACAUUUCACUCAUUGACUGAUUUUAUCUCAAGAGUAAGCACAGCAGCUAGAAAUCACAGGAAGCCUCGGAAGAGAGUUGGAUUAAUACCUGAAGGCAGUUUCCUCUGGAAGUGAGCUUUCCUUCGAGGCAUGGAGCAGCACUGCUGCUGUGGCUGCUGCACUGGGGCUGCAGGAAGUCCCUCUGUGCAGACAAAACUCAUUCUGGGAACAUGCAAAGAACACAGAGUUUGGACCCAAUUACUCACUCUGCCAUCUUUUUUUAUCCUCAAGGAUGGGGGGGAAUCCUUUAUCAGUGCAUAGUAAUCGUCUUGAUGUCCAAUGAAAAGAGCAAUGACAAACAUUUCCUUGCCAGACAAUGAGUAUUGCAGGCAGACAGCUGGGUUACUUUCCACCUUUGCACGAGCACAUCUGCUCAACGAGCACGGCGUGCAUUCGGAGAUACCCGAGCACGCAGGGCUGACAUUUGCUUUUCAGAAGCGCCCCCCUGACAGGCACUUGAAUGCUCAGACACCCGUGUGAAAGGUACACAGGACAUCAGUGGGACGAGCUGCGUAACUCACACCAAUGACACGUCUCUUUUCACUUGCAGUAUUUAUAGCUGGCAGUGAUUUCCCAUUGCGCACUUUUGCUUUAGGAAGGACUUCUAAAAUAUCAAGAGUUUGUUCCAUACAGACCUUUUCCUUUGGGUACAUGAAGGAGGCUGAUGUCAACGGCAGCUCUCGGACGUGGCCCUGAAUACACAGCAGUACGAGCCAUUCUGCUUGUGCAUGUGGUCAGCUUUUGCUUCAGUCUUCUUGUGCUUCUGCUUGUGCUUCAGGCAGCAUGACUUUCAGAGCUCUUCAUUUUAUUUUAUGGCUAAUUUCACGAAUUCAUUAGGGGCAUUGUAGUGGCAGUGCUCAGUCACAGCCUGAAACAGUGAUGGAGCACCUGGUGGGAAGGCAGGGCCAACCCAGGGGAGUUCAGGUGCACGUAGUGCUGCUGAGUGACUAGAAGGGAUGGAGUCAGUAUCCACCCCUUCCCAGCCCUCAUUUAAGGGUUGGCAGUGGAGCUGAGGGUAUCUUUUGCUGGAGAUUCCUGCUUACCUGCGGCCUUCUAAGAGUAAGCAGCUCUUUUCCUUAAUUUUUGCAUCUGUGGCUGUUGCAUUUGGGCUCAUUCUCAUUUGGAGUAGCUAAAGACUUUGACGCCCUGCUAUUAUCCUAUUAUAGCGUUGCAGGCAUUAAUAAUAGUUAAGGAGAUUUAAAUCCAUUAUGACUGUAACACUGGGCAGGCUGCAGGGGUGUGCAGAUGUCAUCUCCAUGUUCUUCUGGAGGAAUUUUGGAUGCUCAGUAGCAGUGAUGCCAGUGUUGGGGCAUGCACCCAGAGCACCCCUGUCUGGAGGAAAUGUAGUUCCCCACAUCUUGCAACGCACAGAGCUGUGAGAACACCAGAAUGCCUGAGCACUCAUCUGCUGCCCAGCUCUUGGCUGCUGCUAGAUGCAGCUCGUGACUUUGAAACCAGUUGUUUGCAAAAGAGCUCUGUGCCAUGCCCUGCAGGGCGAGCAGGGCCUCGUGCUGCAGCUGCUGACUAAUGCAUGACACCUCUGCUGUGAGGCAGUUGUGUUCACUCACCGAGGUCAGGGUGACUCAAAGCAGCACAUGUUCCAUGUCGAUGCCCAGAGGCAGCUGCUGUUUUACAUCAUGACAAUGUCAAUUAUCACCUACAACACUCCUGUAAGGAGUAAAAUGGCAUUGACAAAAGAUGCAAUUAUUUGGCUGUUUGCUUUCUCAGUCCUCUGCUAAUGUCAGUGUCUGGUUGUCUCUCUGAUGAUGCCUUUAAACCACAUGUGUGACAGCUACACUGCGUUGAAAAACACAGCUUUCCCCACCUGUGUGUGCAUGAGGAGAUGUGCUGUUGCAGAGAUGCCCUGAUCUUUCUGAGCACCACUGUAACGCUGCUGGAGAAGCUCAAGGGGGGAUUGUGUCCUUUCCAGUGGAGGCUGGAGGUGCAAUAUUGAUCUCAGCCCCCAUCUCUUGGAUAGCUGGAGUGUCAAGCACUGGGUAGAAUUGCUGUAAGUGCGCUGGCUCUUGCUGUGCUCCUGGCCGUUCCUCUGCUUCAUGUCUAUGUGCUUGGGCCUUUGGAGCUGGCUGCUGCACCAGCCCAGCUCUCGGAGGUGUCCCCCAGCAGCUGCUGCCUGGGGUUGCUUGGGCUGCUCGCAGGAGCUGAGGGCACAGCCCAGCCCGCUGUGCUGGCAGAGGCUGAUAGCCUGCCCAGAGCAAGUUUUUCUCCUCCACCACAGUCAUCUGACCUGUCCUUAGAACGGCAUCUGCUUUUGGGGGGCAAGACCAACAAAAAACAACAGCAACAAAAAGCUUUUGUGAUUCAUCUCUUAUUUAGAGCAUGUGCUAAUGAUGAAUUUGGGUGCAUCCCAUCUUGUCUCUAGGAACAGCUGGAAUAACUUCUGUGUUUUUGCAUUGGAAACAACAAUGUUGCCGAAUCAUAGCUGUUCUUUGUGAAUCUCUCCAUUUCUUUAAGUUGUCAAUUUAUGGAAAAGUGGAAGAAUCUGGUAGUGAAACUGAAACUUCUUGUUUGAUCAUUUUGGUACCAGCAGAUGUGGGGAAUUCAUUCCAGGACAAGUUUAUUGCCUACGUUCACGUUCUGACAUUGCCAAAAUGAGCAGAAAUAAAAGCCUUCCCCACCCCCCUCAAGUUUUUAAAUAUAAUGGGAAAUGUUUUUAUUCUUUGGAGUUGUGGCAGAGUCUGCACAAUUUAACCUUGCAGACUUAUCCUGUUCAACCACAGGUCGUGUGCUGCUGUCCCAGCAGCUGGGGCUGGAUCCAUGCAGUCAGUCUGCACACGACGUGGAGGUUUGCUGAUGCUGCACAGUUGGGUGCAGGCAGUCAUCUGCAGAGCCCUCACGCCUUUGUAUCAUCCAGCCUGAUACUCAUAGCGCUGUUUUACUAAGCCCAAAGCCUUUACUGGUUACACAUGCUCUGCGUCAUUCCUUCCAUUGGCACGUGCUCCGUUCGGCAUUCUCUCAUUCACGUACGACACAGGGAAGGGAUUGUAUACUCCACUGUGAUACCACUUACAUCUCCUCCUUUGUUUCUAGGCAUGUAAUUACAUAUGGAUUUGGACCUUAACAAACCAUGGGUUGCUUUAGGUUACACUUGCUCCUGCCUCAGCCUAACUACGUGUUUUCAUUUAGAUUUUGGCAAGACCUUUGUCUGGCCAGCUGGCUUUUGUGCUCGAGACCAUCCUGUCUUUUGUCUUGAGUUACCCUUCCUUCUUCCCAACUGCAGCCCUGACUGCACUUGCAGUAACAGGGAUGAAUUUAUCAAAUGUUUGUGUAUUCACACAAUUAAAACGCAGAUAUUGAUUUGUUACUUUGAUCUCUUGGCUUCCCUUACCAGAAUGUAGGCAUGUAGACACAAAUACAGGGUGUGGAGGAUCUGUUGCAAAGGGCAAUUUUGAUCUGGCCGUAGCAGCGUGAGCCAUCUGUUGAUUGGCCUUUGUCAGCCAAAUUGUGCUACUAGUUGGCAUAGUGAAUAUGUAUGCAGCACUCUGCAGGACAAAACUCAUAAAUUCAGAUUGCCUUGCAUGAACUUAUAUAUGCAGUUCAGCUCCACAAAGAGAAAGAAAAAGAAAAAAACUGCAUACAUUGCUUAUGCAACAAAAUGUUGCUUAUUUAUAGUGGCAUUUACAAGGUGCAGGGAAAGCUGAUAUCCUCCUCAAUGAUGAGGGCUGAAAACCUCAUUAAAAUGUGUUAUAACAUCAAGUGAUGCAUUUCUGCCCCUACUGCUCCAUUUUAACACAGG
Gallus gallus (chicken) is the source of this 32340-nucleotide long non-coding RNA. NCBI's taxonomy places the organism in Eukaryota, Metazoa, Chordata, Aves, Galliformes, Phasianidae. The record is from Ensembl.